This 265-nucleotide long non-coding RNA is filed under the name Elaeis guineensis (African oil palm). RNAcentral describes it as "long non-coding RNA (EGUI_LNC019082)". Lineage: Eukaryota; Viridiplantae; Streptophyta; Magnoliopsida; Arecales; Arecaceae. The record is from RNAcentral.
CUAUCAGAAAUUUAAAGGAGUUUGGCGCUACAGAAACUAAAGAAAUGUUUAAGAAGCAAAAAAGAGCAAUGACAAAAGGUGGAAGUGGAAGAUGAAGUCCGACGCGGAAAGCUUCCUGGUACAAGCAGAAGCGGCCAGGAGGAGGGGUGCUAGCCCGGCCAGUUGGCCCGGAAAGCUCCAGCUCGUACUCCGGAGGAACUCCAUACUAAAUCCUGAUCAGCGAGAGUUCGUCCGAAGUUAGAGUGCUAGGAAUGGUGUCUGGUAC